RNAcentral lists this ribosomal RNA (253 nucleotides) under uncultured bacterium. RNAcentral's name for it is "partial 16S ribosomal RNA". It matches the Rfam family "Bacterial small subunit ribosomal RNA", at positions 524 to 776 of the family's 1533-position model. The record is from RNAcentral.
UACAGAGGUGGCAAGCGUUGUUCGGAAUUACUGGGCGUAAAGGGCGCGUAGGCGGCCUACUAAGUCAGACGUGAAAUCCCCCGGCUUAACCUGGGAACUGCGUCUGAUACUGGAAGGCUUGAGGAUGGGAGAGGGAUGUAGAAUUCCAGGUGUAGCGGUGAAAUGUGUAGAGAUCGGGAGGAACACCGGUGGCGAAGGCGGGUCUCUGGGCAAUUCCUGACGCUGAGGCGCGAAAGCGUGGGGAGCAAACGGG